RNAcentral lists this ribosomal RNA (394 nucleotides) under uncultured bacterium. RNAcentral describes it as "bacterial SSU rRNA". It matches the Rfam family "Bacterial small subunit ribosomal RNA", at positions 30 to 429 of the family's 1533-position model. The record is from RNAcentral.
AUUGAACGCUGGCGGCAUGCCUUACACAUGCAAGUCGAACGGCAGCGGACCUUCGGGUGCCGGCGAGUGGCGAACGGGUGAGUAAUAUAUCGGAACGUACCUUUCAGUGGGGGAUAACGUAGCGAAAGUUACGCUAAUACCGCAUAUUCUGUGAGCAGGAAAGCAGGGGAUCGCAAGACCUUGCGCUGAUUGAGCGGCCGAUAUCAGAUUAGCUAGUUGGUGAGGUAAAGGCUCACCAAGGCGACGAUCUGUAGCGGGUCUGAGAGGAUGAUCCGCCACACUGGAACUGAGACACGGUCCAGACUCCUACGGGAGGCAGCAGUGGGGAGUUUUGGACAAUGGGCGCAAGCCUGAUCCAGCCAUGCCGCGUGAGUGAAGAAGGCCUGGUUGUAAG